GAGGUCGAACAACGCGAUUCUUUCUUGCGACGUCUUCUCCUUCAAACGCCUUAAUUGCACCGCUCACCGCAGUUACAAACGCGAACCAGGACACAUCUGACUCGGGGCAAUUGGUGGUGGUGGUGGGGGGGGGGGGUUCACAUGACACAAAACGAUCCCUGACCGCUAACGUGGCGGAUCGGAUGGUGCUGACGGCAUUCCCCUCAAACACCAUUUGCAGACUUUCUAUUACGCAGUUCCAAAAGCACGAACCUAAAUGGGCCGCACAGGAGGCAACGCAUAACAUCGGGCUACUUUUGGGCUCGUAACUGGUGGCCUUCGGGCUCCAAAGCGUAUUUGAAUCGCUGGUCACGCGCCCGCGGGAAGGCUGGCGGUUAAGUCGGGCGGCUGCAGGGAGCGGUACCCUGAGGCGACUUGCCGGAGCGCCCCAGAGCGCCUCAGUUGGGAGGACCGACGGACCCGGGGAAGGAGCCGCGAUGACGAAUCGUUCCGGCGUCUGCAGAAAAAACACAACGCCCACAGGCGGGGCCGCUUUUCACGGUGAAACACCCGAUGAAGCAGAACUUGGGAGAUGUCAGGGGAGCGUGACAAGGCACUGGGUCCCCAACAUUCCCUUAUCAGGAGGUAGACAGCUUGAUCAGAUUGCGGGCAAGAUGCAUGAAAGCAGCUCAGAGUGAUUUCCUUUUAGAUUUCCCUUUUUUUACUGUGGGUAACUGCUCUAAAAGUCGAUCUCCCCAGUGGUUUAACUGACACCAGGAACAUCCCCUUUGGAGAACUAUAAAUAUGAACUGAAUACUCACCGCUGUGGCCUAUCAUGUUGUACAACAUAGUUUUAUAUUAGAAUGUAUUAACAUUUGCUGCAUUAUUGUCCAUUUAAACUAGUAUGACAACUUGUAUUUUUGAAUGAACACAUGAAAAAUAAAUAUUACUUUUUAUGAUUUAUAACUUCCCUUUCUUCCAUUCUAGAUUCUCACCAACAACACACAUAUCAGUCAAGAGCAUCCGGUGGCAACCAUCACUUGGGGUUUUUUCAAUCCUGUUUUUGAACAAGGAAGUGAUGGUUAUUUUGCCCUCUUUUCCCCCUCCCCCUAAAAGUAUUUGAGACUUUCCCUGACAAAUCUGGUAUUGGGAACCUACCAAAUGGAGAGUUCCUGCCUGGCCCGCUCUACCAUCCUUUCUGCCCCCACCCUAUGGAACUCCAUCGAAUAUUUCCUUCGCCUCGC
Callorhinchus milii (elephant shark) is the source of this 1223-nucleotide long non-coding RNA. RefSeq lists it as uncharacterized. The transcript has 3 exons. NCBI's taxonomy places the organism in Eukaryota, Metazoa, Chordata, Chondrichthyes, Chimaeriformes, Callorhinchidae. The record is from RefSeq and is a predicted model, not a curated record.